AUUCUCAUUAAUGAUCUUUUACCCAUUAUCGUUAUAAAGUUAAUACUUAUAUUAAUAUAUAUUUAAAUAUC
RNAcentral lists this transfer RNA (71 nucleotides) under Metaperipatus inae. Its description in RNAcentral is "tRNA-Arg". Lineage: Eukaryota; Metazoa; Onychophora; Udeonychophora; Euonychophora; Peripatopsidae. The record is from RNAcentral.